GGACGAACGCUGGCGGCGUGCCUAACACAUGCAAGUCGAGCAGAGGGGAUAGGAGCUUGCUUCUUGAACCUCAGCGGCGGACGCGUGAGUAACACGUGGGUAACCUGCCCUUGAGAGGGGGAUAACAGGUCGAAAGGCCUGCUAAUACCGCAUAACGCUAAGAAGCUGCAUGGCGUCUUAGCCAAAGGUUAAUUCCGCUCAAGGAUGGGCCCGCGGCCCAUUAGCUAGUUGGUGAGGUAAUGGCUCACCAAGGCGACGAUGGGUAGCCGGCCUGAGAGGGUGGUCGGCCACACUGGGACUGAGACACGGCCCAGACUCCUACGGGAGGCAGCAGUGGGGAAUAUUGCGCAAUGGGGGAAACCCUGACGCAGCGACGCCGCGUGAGCGAUGAAGGCCUUCGGGUUGUAAAGCUCUGUCUUCCCUGACGAUAAUGACGGUAAGGGAGGAGGAAGCCACGGCUAACUACGUGCCAGCAGCCGCGGUAAUACGUAGGUGGCGAGCGUUGUCCGGAAUUACUGGGCGUAAAGGGUGCGUAGGCGGCUCUUUAAGUGGGAUGUGAAAUCCCUGGGCUCAACCCAGGAACUGCAUUCCAAACUGGAGAGCUAGAGUGCAGGAGAGGAAAGCGGAAUUCCCAGUGUAGCGGUGAAAUGCGUAGAGAUUGGGAGGAACACCAGUGGCGAAGGCGGCUUUCUGGACUGUAACUGACGCUGAGGCACGAAAGCGUGGGGAGCAAACAGGAUUAGAUACCCUGGUAGUCCACGCUGUAACGAUGGGUACUAAAUGGUUAUAGGCCGAAGCCCUUCUGUGCCGCAGCUAACGCAUAGUACUCCGCCUGGGGGAGUACGGUCGCAAGACUAAAGCUCAAACGUAUCGACGAGAGACCGCCCAAGCAGCCGUGCAUGUGCUGUAAUUCGAAGCAACGCUAAGCACCUACGCAGGGCUGGACAUCCACCGAACCAUGUAGAAACACGGUGGUGCCCUUCGGGGAACGGUGAGACAGGUGAAGCAUGGUUGUCGUCAGCUGAAGUCGUGAGAUGUUGGGUUAAGUCCCGCAACGAGCGCAAUCCUCCCCUGUACAAUACUGCAAUUUGGUUCGUCACUUUAGAGUGAGGGCCGGGUUUCAGUAGGAGGAAGGCGGGGAUGACUUCAAAUCAUCAUGCCCAUUAUGGCCUGGGUGACACACGCGCUCCAAUGGCAGGUACAAUGAGGUGCAAACAUCCGAGGGGGAAAUAAUCUCAAAAACAGGUCCCCAUUCAGAUUGUAGGCUGCAACUGGCAUACACGAACCUGGAGUCGUUAGUAAUCCCGGAUAAGCACGGGUUACCGAAUACGUUCUCGGGCGUCGUACA
RNAcentral lists this ribosomal RNA (1348 nucleotides) under uncultured bacterium. RNAcentral's name for it is "bacterial SSU rRNA". It matches the Rfam family "Bacterial small subunit ribosomal RNA", at positions 27 to 1387 of the family's 1533-position model. The record is from RNAcentral.